GAUGAACGCUGGCGGCGUGCCUAAUACAUGCAAGUCGAGCGAACAGACGAGGAGCUUGCUCCUCUGAGAUUAGCGGCGGACGGGUGAGUAACACGUGGAUAACCUGCCUAUAAGACUGGGAUAACUUCGGGAAACCGGAGCUAAUACCGGAUAAUAUCUUGAACCGCAUGGUUCAAGAGUGAAAGACGGUCUUGCUGUCACUUAUAGAUAGAUCCCCGCUGCAUUAGUUAGUUGGUAAGGUAACGGCCUACCAAGGCAACGAUGCUUAGCCGACCUGGGAGGGUGAUCGGCCACACUGGAACUGAGACACGGUCCAGACUCCUACGGGAGGCAGCAGUAGGGAAUCUUCGGCAAUGGGCGAAAUCCUGACGGAGCAACGCCGCUUGGGUGAUGAAGGUCUUCGGAUCGUAAAACUCUUUUAUUAGGGAAGAACAUAGGUGUAAUUAACUGUGCACCUCGUGACGGUACCUAAUCAGAAAGCCACGGCUAACUACGUG
Molecule: ribosomal RNA, 497 nt
Filed under: uncultured bacterium
Lineage: Bacteria
Description: partial 16S ribosomal RNA
Rfam family: Bacterial small subunit ribosomal RNA
Source: RNAcentral